GACAGAGGUGCCGAGCGUUAGGCGGAAUCACUGGGCUUAAAGCGUGUGUAGGCGGAUCGUUAAGUACCUUGUGAAAUCCCACGGCUUAACCGUGGAACUGCUGGGUAUACUGGCGAUCUUGAGCCACCUAGGGGCAACCGGAACAAAUGGUGGAGCGGUGAAAUGCGUAGAUAUCUGGAGGAACACCGGUGGCGAAGGCGGCAUCCUGGACCGGCAUUGACGCUGAGGCGCGAAAGCCAGGGGAGCAAACGGG
This 253-nucleotide ribosomal RNA is filed under the name uncultured bacterium. RNAcentral's name for it is "partial 16S ribosomal RNA". It matches the Rfam family "Bacterial small subunit ribosomal RNA", at positions 524 to 776 of the family's 1533-position model. The record is from RNAcentral.